CAGCAGCCACGGGAAUACGAAGGGGGCUAGCGUUGUUCGGAAUUACUGGGCGUAAAGGGCGCGUAGGCGGCCAUUCAAGUUAGAUGUGAAAGCCCUGGGCUCAACCUAGGAAUUGCAUUUGGUACUGUUUGGCUUGAGUUCGGGAGAGGUGAGUGGAAUUCCCAGUGUAGAGGUGAAAUUCGUAGAUAUUGGGAAGAACACCAGUGGCGAAGGCGGCUCACUGGACCGACACUGACGCUGAGGCGCGAAAGCGUGGGGAGCAAACAGGAUUAGAUACCCCUGUAGUCCCUGUCUCUUAUAC
RNAcentral lists this ribosomal RNA (301 nucleotides) under uncultured bacterium. RNAcentral's name for it is "partial 16S ribosomal RNA". It matches the Rfam family "Bacterial small subunit ribosomal RNA", at positions 509 to 807 of the family's 1533-position model. The record is from RNAcentral.